Long non-coding RNA from Oncorhynchus tshawytscha (Chinook salmon), 440 nucleotides. Lineage: Eukaryota; Metazoa; Chordata; Actinopteri; Salmoniformes; Salmonidae. The record is from Ensembl.
CAGCUCGUCAGUCCACCUCCCACCCGAGUCUCCCCUUUACAAUCCACACAAUGUCAUUCUGUAACGUAGACUCUGCCACUUACAUCAGGUUUAGGAUAUGUAGGCGUCAGAUUCCCAGUGGCAUCAUGGGAAAACUGAACAAAGCUUUUGGAUAAAAACUCUCUGAUGACAAAAGAAGAAAUACACUGAUCACUCCACAAUAAUAGAAUUGUGUGACCUUAAGGUCAUCACUAGUACGUAAGGUCAUUACUAGUACGUAAGGUCAUUACUAGUACGUAAGGUCAUCACUAGUACGUAAGGUCAUCACUAGUACGUAAGGUCAUCACUAGUACGUAAGGUCAUCACCAGUACGUAAGGUCAUCGCCAGUACGUAAGGUCAUCACCAGUACGUAAGGUCAUCACUAGUACGUAAGGUCAUCACCAGUACGUAAGGUCAUCAC